RNAcentral lists this ribosomal RNA (433 nucleotides) under uncultured bacterium. RNAcentral describes it as "partial 16S ribosomal RNA". It matches the Rfam family "Bacterial small subunit ribosomal RNA", at positions 28 to 507 of the family's 1533-position model. The record is from RNAcentral.
GGCGAACGCUGGCGGCAGGCCUAACACAUGCAAGUCGAACGGACCCUUCGGGGUUAGUGGCGGACGGGUGAGUAACACGUGGGAACGUGCCCUUAGGUUCGGAAUAGCUCCUGGAAACGGGUGGUAAUGCCGAAUGUGCCCUUCGGGGGAAAGAUUUAUCGCCUUUAGAGCGGCCCGCGUCUGAUUAGCUAGUUGGGGAGGUAACGGCUCACCAAGGCGACGAUCAGUAGCUGGUCUGAGAGGAUGACCAGCCACACUGGGACUGAGACACGGCCCAGACUCCUACGGGAGGCAGCAGUGGGGGAUCUUGCGCCAUGGGCGAAAGCCUGACGCAGCCAUGCCGCGUGAAUGAUGAAGGUCUUAGGAUUGUAAAAUUCUUUCACCGGGGACGAUAAUGACGGUACCCGGAGAAGAAGCCCCGGCUAACUUCGUG